Molecule: ribosomal RNA, 465 nt
Filed under: Vreelandella stevensii
Lineage: Bacteria; Pseudomonadati; Pseudomonadota; Gammaproteobacteria; Oceanospirillales; Halomonadaceae
Description: partial 16S ribosomal RNA
Rfam family: Bacterial small subunit ribosomal RNA
Source: RNAcentral
CCUACGGGUGGCUGCAGUGGGGAAUAUUGGACAAUGGGCGAAAGCCUGAUCCAGCCAUGCCGCGUGUGUGAAGAAGGCCUUCGGGUUGUAAAGCACUUUCAGUGGGGAAGAAAGCCUUGGGGCUAAUACCCUCGAGGAAGGACAUCACCCACAGAAGAAGCACCGGCUAACUCCGUGCCAGCAGCCGCGGUAAUACGGAGGGUGCGGGCGUUAAUCGGAAUUACUGGGCGUAAAGCGCGCGUAGGCGGUCUGAUAAGCCGGUUGUGAAAGCCCCGGGCUCAACCUGGGAACGGCAUCCGGAACUGUCAGGCUAGAGUGCAGGAGAGGAAGGUAGAAUUCCCGGAGUAGCGGUGAAAUGCGUAGAGAUCGGGAGGAAUACCAGUGGCGAAGGCGGCCUUCUGGACUGACACUGACGCUGAGGUGCGAAAGCGUGGGUAGCAAACAGGAUUAGAUACCCGGGUAGUC